AAAGAGGAGCGAGAGCCCGGCGAUGGCGGCUGCGCCGGCCUUGAAGCACUGGCGCACCACGCUGGAGCGGGUGGAGAAGUUCGUGUCGCCGCUCUACUUUACCGACUGUAACCUCCGCGGCAGGCUUUUUGGGGCCAGCUGCCCUGUGGCUGUGCUCUCCAGCUUCCUGACGCCGGAGAGACUUCCCUACCAGGAGGCAGUCCAGCGGGACUUCCGCCCCGCGCAGGUCGGCGACAGCUUCGGACCCACAUGGUGGACCUGCUGGUUCCGGGUGGAGCUGACCAUCCCAGAGGCAUGGGUGGGCCAGGAAGUUCACCUUUGCUGGGAAAGUGAUGGAGAAGGUCUGGUGUGGCGUGAUGGAGAACCUGUCCAGGGUUUAACCAAAGAGGGUGAGAAGACCAGCUAUGUCCUGACUGACAGGCUGGGGGAAAGAGACCCCCGAAGCCUCACUCUCUAUGUGGAAGUAGCCUGCAAUGGGCUCCUGGGGGCCGGGAAGGGAAGCAUGAUUGCAGCCCCUGACCCUGAGAAGAUGUUCCAGCUGAGCCGGGCUGAGCUAGCCGUGUUCCACCGGGAUGUCCACAUGCUCCUGGUGGAUCUGGAGCUGCUGCUGGGCAUAGCCAAGCCUGGCUUUGGCCCUUCAAAGAGACUGUGAGGAAAUG
Molecule: small RNA, 659 nt
Filed under: Pan troglodytes (chimpanzee)
Lineage: Eukaryota; Metazoa; Chordata; Mammalia; Primates; Hominidae
Description: processed transcript
Source: RNAcentral